This 1241-nucleotide long non-coding RNA is filed under the name Onthophagus taurus. RNAcentral describes it as "uncharacterized LOC111421526, transcript variant X3". The record is from RNAcentral. Lineage: Eukaryota; Metazoa; Arthropoda; Insecta; Coleoptera; Scarabaeidae.
AAUCAAUAAGUAAAAAGUUUCAAUUAAAUUUUAAUUUGACGUUUUAUAACGCCAUCUAUUAGUAAUUAAAGCAACUAUUUGCGUCUUUAUCAAGUGUCAUUUUUUGUUAUAACUUAUUUUGCGUGAAAUAAAACUAAAACUAGAAAUUUUGAGGUUAUGCCGUGCGUCUAUGACGCACGGCAUAACCCUAAAAUUUCUACUUUUAGUUUUAUUUCUUAUUCCAUCGACAGUAACGGUUGUGAAAAGUGUCACUUAAAAAAGUGAGGUUAGGUUACGUUGAAAAAGUACUUCGAAGACGUCGCCGAGUUUACUUUUUAUGGCUGUUUCAAGCGAAAUCGCUUCUUAUGAGUCGCUAAUAUGAAAAAAAAAUCGUUGAGGACGCACUGAUACCGGUUGUAAAGUUUUACUUGAAAAGUGAGGUUAGGUUGGGUUGAAAAAGUACUUCGAAGACGUCGGCCGAGUUUAAUGUAAAAGAAAAUCUUUGAGGACGCACUAAGUUAUGCCGUGCGUCGUAUUAGGCAGCGAAUAACAAUGCCGAUUACAGGAAACUGUAAAAUAUGUUCCUCUAUAAACAAAGAUUAUACUAAUCACCUUCUGAAAAAAGGCGUAAAUUAAAGUUAAUUUUAAUUAAAAUUGUUAUUAAAAACACUUAUUGAAGAGAUUUUAAUGGAAAUUCACCUAUAGAUAUCAGGAAUGCUGGAAAAUCUAUUAAAACCGAGGUUCAUCAAGAUUUUUGUUAACUGCUAUAUCUAUUAAUGGGAAGAAAAGGAUUUAUGAAGAAAAGGCGUGUAUUGAAGAGAUUUUAAUGGAAAUUAACCUGAAGAUUCCGUGGAUGAUUUUUAACUCCGAUAACCAUUAAUCAGGAGAAAAGCGUUCUUGUUUCGGAAUAAUACGGAAAAUGCGAAAUAAAAGGAUUUAUCAAGAAAAGGCGUUUAUUGAUGAGAUGUGAAUGGAAAUUAACCUAUGGAUGCUGAAAAGUCAAUUAAAACCAAAGUUCAUCAAGAUUUUUUUUUAACUCCAAUAACAAUUAAUCAGAAGAAAUAUACUAUUGUUUAUAUCUAAUUAGAAAUAAAAGGAUAUAUCAAGGGAUUUUAUUAAGAUUGGAAAUUAAAAUAUUUCAAAGAAAUUCUUUACAUACAUUAUUUCUUGAGCUUCACUUGAACCUUCGAAAUGGUAGUAAUUAUGAUGGUAGUAUUAAUGUUGAUGCUCGUUUUUAAGAACAAUAAAUUUUAUUUAAAAUA